UCGACGGAGAGUUUGAUCCUGGCUCAGGACGAACGCUGGCGGCGGGCCUAAUACAUGCAAGUCGAACGCACUCGACCUUCGGGUCACAUGAGUGAGUGGCGAACGGGUGAGUAACACGUGAGAAACCUGCCCUGAAGACCGGAAUAACCCGAGGAAACUCGAGCUAAUGCCGGAUAUCCCCAUCUGGUCGCAUGGCCUAAUGAGGAAAUGUUCAGGCGCUUCAGGAGGGUCUCACGGCCUAUCAGCUAGUUGGUGAGGUAACGGCUCACCAAGGCAUCGACGGGUAGCUGGUCUGAGAGGACGAUCAGCCACACUGGGACUGAGACACGGCCCAGACUCCUACGGGAGGCAGCAGUAGGGAAUCUUGCGCAAUGGGCGAAAGCCUGACGCAGCCACGCCGCGUGAGGGAUGAAGGCUCUCGGGUUGUAAACCUCUUUCAGCAGGGACGAAAAUGACGGUACCUGCAGAAGAAGCUCCGGCCAACUACGUGCCAGCAGCCGCGGUAACACGUAGGGAGCAAGCGUUGUCCGGAAUUAUUGGGCGUAAAGAGCUCGUAGGCGGUUUAGUAAGUCAGGUGUGAAAACUCGAGGCUCAACCUCGAGAGGCCACCUGAUACUGCUGUGACUGGAGUCCGGUAGAGGAGUGUGGAAUUCCUGGUGUAGCGGUGAAAUGCGCAGAUAUCAGGAGGAACACCAACAGCGAAGGCAGCACUCUGGGCCGGUACUGACGCUGAGGAGCGAAAGCGUGGGGAGCGAACAGGAUUAGAUACCCUGGUAGUCCACGCCGUAAACGUUGGGCACUAGGUGUGGGGUCUAGCUAACAGAUUCCGCGCCGCAGUUAACGCAUUAAGUGCCCCGCCUGGGGAGUACGGCCGCAAGGCUAAAACUCAAAAGAAUUGACGGGGGCUCGCACAAGCGGUGGAGCAUGUGGCUUAAUUCGAUGCAACGCGAAAAACCUUACCGGGGCUUGACAUGAUAGA
This 979-nucleotide ribosomal RNA is filed under the name Acidimicrobiales bacterium. RNAcentral describes it as "bacterial SSU rRNA". It matches the Rfam family "Bacterial small subunit ribosomal RNA", at positions 1 to 993 of the family's 1533-position model. The record is from RNAcentral. Lineage: Bacteria; Bacillati; Actinomycetota; Acidimicrobiia; Acidimicrobiales.